Molecule: long non-coding RNA, 344 nt
Organism: Lycium barbarum (goji berry)
Lineage: Eukaryota; Viridiplantae; Streptophyta; Magnoliopsida; Solanales; Solanaceae
Exons: 2
Source: RefSeq, a predicted model, not a curated record
UACAAUUUCCUUAUAUAAACCAUCCAAAACCCUAACCUCACUUCCUUCCAUUACUGCCCUAUCUUUUUUCUUCAAUAGAUUUUGCUCUAAGAAGUAGCAAAAAAAAAAAAAACUCUUUGAUUCAACAUGAGAGCUAAGUGGAAGAAGAAGCGUAUGAGGAGAUUGAAGAGGAAGCGCCGAAAGAUGAGACAGAGAUCCAAGUAGAAUGUAUUUCGGAGUUCGUAAUGGUUUAAGUUUUAAGUUUAAAUUUCAGUAACAUUGAAUAGAGGUUUUGACCUAAAUGGCAUCGAAUUCUGAUUCUGAUAUCCCUUUUUAAAAAAAAAUAGAUUUGUGUUUUCUUAUUA